This 1316-nucleotide ribosomal RNA is filed under the name metagenome. RNAcentral's name for it is "bacterial LSU rRNA". It matches the Rfam family "Bacterial large subunit ribosomal RNA", at positions 1599 to 2925 of the family's 2925-position model. The record is from RNAcentral.
AUCCAGCUUCCUAGAAAAGCUCUAACCACGUUAAUCUUUAGUUGCCUGUACCCGAAACCGACACAGGUAGGGGGGUAGAGAAUACCAAGGGGCGCGAGAUAACUCUCUCUAAGGAACUCGGCAAAAUGACCCCGUAACUUCGGGAGAAGGGGUACCACUGAGAAGUGGUCGCAGUGAAGAGGCCCAGGCGACUGUUUACCAAAAACACAGGUCUCCGCCAAGUCGCAAGACGAAGUAUGGGGGCUGACGCCUGCCCAGUGCCGGAAGGUUAAGGAAGUGGGUUAGGGAUUCGUCCCGAAGCUGACGACUGAAGCCCCGGUGAACGGCGGCCGUAACUAUAACGGUCCUAAGGUAGCGAAAUUCCUUGUCGGGUAAGUUCCGACCCGCACGAAAGGCGUAACGAUCUGGGCGCUGUCUCGGAGAGAGGCUCGGCGAAAUAGGAUUGUCUGUGAAGAUACGGACUACCUGCACCUGGACAGAAAGACCCUAUGAAGCUUUACUGUAGCUUGGAAUUGGGUUCGGGCUUGGUUUGCGCAGGAUAGGUGGGAGGCGAAGAAGAUUUGCUUGUGGGUGAAUCUGAGCCAACGGUGAGAUACCACUCUAACCAGGCUAGAAUUCUAACUUCAACCCGUCAACCGGGGGAAGGACAGUUUCAGGUGGGCAGUUUGACUGGGGCGGUGCCUCCUAAAAGAUAACGGAGGCGCACAAAGGUUCCCUCAGGCUGGUUGGAAAUCAGCCAACGAGUGCAAAGGCAGAAGGGAGCUUGACUGCGAGACCUACAAGUCAAGCAGGGUGGAAACACGGUCUUAGUGAUCCGACGGCACCGAGUGGAAGGGCCGUCGCUCAACGGAUAAAAGUUACUCUAGGAUAACAGGCUGAUCUCCCCCAAGAGUUCACAUCGACGGGGAGGUUUGGCACCUCGAUGUCGGCUCAUCGCAACCUGGGGCGGAAGUACGUCCCAAGGGUUGGGCUGUUCGCCCAUUAAAGCGGUACGUGAGCUGGGUUCAGAACGUCGUGAGACAGUUCGGUCCAUAUCCGGUGUAGGCGCAGGAACAUUGAGAGGAGUCUUCCUUAGUACGAGAGGACCGGGAAGAACGCACCGCUGGUGUACCUGUUAUCGUGCCAACGGUAAACGCAGGGUAGCCAAGUGCGGAGUGGAUAACUGCUGAAAGCAUCUAAGUGGGAAGCCCACCUCAAGAUGAGUGUUCUCAUGGAGUAAUCCAGUAAGGUCACGGGAAGACGACCCGUUGAUAGGCGGUAGGUGGAAGUUCAGCAAUGGAUGAAGCCGAGCCGUACUAACAGACCGAGGGCUUGAC